UUUUUUUUUUAACACGAUAUCAUGGGAAAGAGAUGCUUUUGUUUGGUCUUUUUCAACAGACACGUGACCAAGGCAGCUUUGAAGCCUUUCUGAAGAGUCCUUGCUUCUGUAGGAUGUUAAAUGUGGAGUUUCCAGCUAUGCACUUCAUUCUACAGACUUAGUCACUCUUAUGUCAUACCAAUAAGUAAGAAUUGCUCAGAUGAAACCACAAUUUCCUUCUGUCUGUGGAGAGGAAGCAAGGAUGCUUUGCAGCCUCUUGUCACCCAUUUAUUUCAUCCACGAAGGAAACAGGGAGAAGCGGAAGAUAUUCAGCUUAGAAAUAAUACUUGGUGAUGAAUUCUGCUGUUGAUAGAAGUUACAAAAUAAGCCAUGCUAUACCCUAGGGGCAGAUGUAUUUUCAGAAAGUCACCUCCUUAUUUGUGAGAAGCACCUGCCAAUUAAUAUGCUUAAAAAUAUCACUGGAGUUAUGUACUCCAGGAAAGCACCAAUAGCUGGUAAGCGCCUACCCUUUCUGUAGUGUUGCAACUUCAGUAAAACCAAGUACAUUCAAGACUGAUGACUUGAUUCUCUCAUCAGAAAGAUAUGCGAGUAAGAAUUGUUGUCUAUCUUGUAAAAACAGCGCUACACUUGUACAUGCAUGUGUAGAGCUGUUAAAGAUUUUACAAGAUACAUGGGAAUGUGUGCCUGCUUAUCUAAGGAAAGAAGUGAGCUCAACAUUAACAACAAAAAAAUCCACCCUCUCGCCGAGACCUUGCCUGCCAAGUUUUAGCUGUGUGUUCUCUGUUUGCGGCACAUACUCCCACAUCCUGCAGUGAGAGGUGAACAUACUCUUUAAUGUAGAGUGAAGAUUUAGGAGCAAAUUCUACUUUCAUUUACAUCAUUAAAAUCCUAAUGAGGCUGUAAAUCAGGGUAAGAAUAUGGUUGAGGUCGAUAGGGUUGGAUGGAUUUAAAUGACUGUAGAAUUUGUCCAUUUUAGGAGGAAAUAUAAACCAGACUAGCCAGAGAAGAGCUCUGAAACAAAUACAAGUGCUGAGAGAAAAAAAUUUCACAUUCUGAACAGGAUCUUUCAGUAAGAACAGUCAAGUGAAUUUCACACCUCAUACAAUUGCAAAGGAAUUACAGCCACAUUGACAACACUUAACUCAGUUUGCUUCCAGGGUAAUGUAUUGCUGGUAAGAAGUAAAAUUUACAAUCGAUAAAACGUAUCUUUGAAAACGAAAUACAGCAGCGUAAGGGAAUAUUAUCUGUAUUUCACUUUAAACAUACAUAUGAGAAAACAGAUGACAAUCCCCAAUGUAGUAUCUAGUAGCCGUAGACAAAGGAGACAGAAUUGCUUUGUGCAUGGCUCAGUGUAUUGCGCAGGGAUCAAACGCGAAUAUGUGCACAGAUCAAAGGGGGCACAAUGCAAGUCAUAAUCUAUCCAACACUCACCUCAGUUUACACAAAGAUCCCCCUGACCUGGUGCAGACUUAUCUGAAGCACUCCACUUGCCAGCUGUAAGGAGAAAAGCACCGUAAGUUAAAAACAUCAAAGUAUGCUUCUGCGGUGCCCCACAUUACAGAGCCUACUGUGGAAACAGGCUCCUCGUGGAGCCUGUUCAGCUUACGGAGAAGGAGCAUGCAGCUCUCCAUCAGGAGAGGAGGAAGGAGCCCCGAGGAAAAAAAAAGGCAGGAAUGUUAUAUAUUAAAAACCUAAGUGAGGUAACCUGCAGAAACUGCUCAGGUAGCUUCUUUCACUCAAUCUGCUCAUCUAUCAAAAUUCCUUUAAGAUCUUGUAGAAGUGACACACAAUUGUACUUCUUGCACAAACAGCAGCAAAAAGGUCUGAGGAUGAGUAACACAGAUGAAACAGCACUUUUACAAGCAGUGCAAUUACACUCUGGUCUUGUCCUUCACAGAUUACGCCUCUUUGCAACUGCAAGAAGCAGUAGGAACCCUGCGUAUCCUUGGGAAUUAAUUUUUAUAUUUGGAAGGUCUAAACCAUCACAGUUUCAGUUUUCAACUGAAAAUGGGGAAAGAAUUCCUAAGGUUCAGCUGUUUAAAAAACCUUCAAUAAAACUGUCAAGAAGAAAAAGUUUUACUUGUUCCCACAGGAUUCAUUUCCCAAAUAAACGCAACAUGGCAUUUGAAUAUGUUUAUAUUGUGACUUCAAGAGUUUUUGUUAUGUAGUUGAAAUAUAAUAGUAUUCAAUAACAGCUGAUGCCAGAGUUAUUUUUAAAAUGGAUAAUACUGACAGCAGUCAGACAUAUUACAUGCUUAAUUUGAAUAAGUUUACGAUUCACUUGCAUUACAGAAAUUGUAUUUUGCUGUCAUUAUAAAAAUUACAUUAUUGAAGUACUGCAUGAUUUUAAUACCAAAUUAUCUUUUCACAGGAAGAAAAAAAAAAUAAAUCUGUGUGGUCAAUUAUACUGUAUUAAAAUCCGAAACACCAUUUUCGUAUUGAAUUGCAAACACUUCUUUGUGCGUUGUUUCUUCUCUGCAGCUUUACCAUUUCAUCAGAUACAACCUCACGGUUGAGUUUUACAGAACAGGUCUGAAUUGGAAAAAAUAGAUUAUUAAUACUGGGAUCUGUUAUGCUAAAUAUAUGUGUUAAUAAUCUGUGUUCUAUUAUGCUUAUCUUCUGUGGGUUUUGGCUAGUUUUCAAGGUCCCAAAUAUCAAUGAGUUUUUUAGUAAGCAUGGAGUAGGUUACUAUAUUAGGGAUAGAAUGGCUAAAUGGGUGAGACCAAGGAAAUGCACCGAAAGCUGUUGUCUGUGGAGUUGUAAAUAGUUCCCAGCAGACAUGUUGCUGCUUACUCUGCUAAGGCUCAAUGAAGCCAAAAGCACUGGGCCAAGAGAAGCAGAUUGUUUUAUUUGCUUGAAUUCAUGGGUGGCCCUUACUGCUCUAGGUCAGUUAUUAAUGAGGAAAAGAAGGUUAAUGGAAAUAGGAGGUGCUGACAGUCAAACAUUUAUCUUUCUGUGGAACCCAUGUAAUACCAGAUAAAAAUAGUACUCAUAUGCUGAUUACAAAGUGAGAUGCUUUUCAAACAUGUCUGAAUUUAACCAGACUUUUUUAGUAUGUGAUACAAAAAGAGUGUAUCUACAAUAAAUAAUAGCAAUACACACAAUGCAUUAAUGUGACUGCCUAAUUUCUCUAGCUAUAAUUAAACUCUAGAGAUGGCUCAACAUCCAGCCUGAUGCUGUUUCUGAAAAAGCUACUGUUGCUCUUCUCAUACAGGAUAUCCAAGCUUGAGGGGUGAAUUUCUUCCCCAUUCCAUUCCUUGCUUGUUCUGUAAGCAAGCCAAGGCAGUGCCUGGACUCCGGUGAAAAGCAUUCUUCUUUAUCUGCCAAUUUCUUUUGUCUGCUUUAUUGAAAAAGCUGCACCAUCAGAAUGCAGGCAAAGAAGGAUCACGUUAAAUAGCAGGAGAUGGGGUGGCACUACAGGGCUGGCCUCACAAAAUAGGC
This is a long non-coding RNA of Pezoporus flaviventris, 3441 nucleotides long. RefSeq lists it as uncharacterized. The transcript has 5 exons. Lineage: Eukaryota; Metazoa; Chordata; Aves; Psittaciformes; Psittacidae. The record is from RefSeq and is a predicted model, not a curated record.